GGUAAAAUGGCUGAUAAAGGCGAUAAAUUGUAAAUUUAUUUAUGAAAAUUUUUCUUUUACCA
Molecule: transfer RNA, 62 nt
Filed under: Hylurgus micklitzi
Lineage: Eukaryota; Metazoa; Arthropoda; Insecta; Coleoptera; Curculionidae
Description: tRNA-Tyr
Source: RNAcentral